AACGAACGCUGGCGGCAUGCCUAAUACAUGCAAGUCGAACGAGACCUUCGGGUCUAGUGGCGCACGGGUGCGUAACGCGUGGGAAUCUACCCUUGGGUUCGGAAUAACAUCGGGAAACUGAUGCUAAUACCGGUUGAUGACGUAAGUCCAUAGAUUUAUCGCCCAGGGAUGAGUCCGCGUAGGAUUAGCUAGUUGGUGAGGUAAAGGCUCACCAAGGCGACGAUCCUUAGCUGGUCUGAGAGGAUGAUCAGCCACACUGGGACUGAGACACGGCCCAGACUCCGACGGGAGGCAGCAGUAGGGAAUAUUGGACAAUGGGGGCAACCCUGAUCCAGCAAUGCCGCGUGAGUGAUGAAGGCCUUAGGGUUGUAAAGCUCUUUUACCCGGGAUGAUAAUGACAGUACCGGGAGAAUAAGCCCCGGCUAACUCCGUGCCAGCAGCCGCGGUAA
RNAcentral lists this ribosomal RNA (449 nucleotides) under uncultured bacterium. RNAcentral's name for it is "partial 16S ribosomal RNA". It matches the Rfam family "Bacterial small subunit ribosomal RNA", at positions 29 to 523 of the family's 1533-position model. The record is from RNAcentral.